UUACGGCCAUAUCCCGUUGAAACAUCGGUUCUCGUACGAUCACCGAAGUUCAGCAACCUCGAGCCUCGUCAGUACUUAGCUAGGUGAGAGGCUUGGGAAUACCAUGUGCUGCAA
Acanthosepion pharaonis is the source of this 114-nucleotide non-coding RNA. The record is from the annotation of a GenBank genome assembly. Lineage: Eukaryota; Metazoa; Mollusca; Cephalopoda; Sepiida; Sepiidae.